AUUGCUUCUCAGCCUUUUGGUUAAGAUCAAGUGUAGUAUCUGUUCUUAUCAGUUUAAUAUCUGAUACAUCCUCUGUCUGAGGACAAUACAUUAAAUGGAUUUUGGGAACUAGGAAAGGGAAUAGGAGCUUGCUCUGUCCACUCACUGUAUUGACCUGGCAUUGCAGUACUUCCAGGAAUGGUGCAGCUACC
Ursus americanus (American black bear) is the source of this 191-nucleotide small nuclear RNA. Its record names the gene U2. It matches the Rfam family "U2 spliceosomal RNA". From Rfam's summary of the family: U2 is a small nuclear RNA (snRNA) component of the spliceosome (involved in pre-mRNA splicing). The record is from Ensembl. NCBI's taxonomy places the organism in Eukaryota, Metazoa, Chordata, Mammalia, Carnivora, Ursidae.